This 233-nucleotide ribosomal RNA is filed under the name Lacticaseibacillus rhamnosus. RNAcentral describes it as "Lactobacillus rhamnosus partial 16S ribosomal RNA". It matches the Rfam family "Bacterial small subunit ribosomal RNA", at positions 1 to 210 of the family's 1533-position model. Lineage: Bacteria; Bacillati; Bacillota; Bacilli; Lactobacillales; Lactobacillaceae. The record is from RNAcentral.
UUUAUAUGAGAGUUUGAUCCUGGCUCAGGAUGAACGCUGGCGGCGUGCCUAAUACAUGCAAGUCGAACGAGUUCUGAUUAUUGAAAGGUGCUUGCAUCUUGAUUUAAUUUUGAACGAGUGGCGGACGGGUGAGUAACACGUGGGUAACCUGCCCUUAAGUGGGGGAUAACAUUUGGAAACAGAUGCUAAUACCGCAUAAAUCCAAGAACCGCAUGGUUCUUGGCUGAAAGAUG